Molecule: long non-coding RNA, 790 nt
Organism: Mustela erminea (ermine)
Lineage: Eukaryota; Metazoa; Chordata; Mammalia; Carnivora; Mustelidae
Exons: 4
Source: RefSeq, a predicted model, not a curated record
CCGAGAGGACAGAAUAGUUCAGUGACUCACAUAGCUCAGAUUUCAAAAGUGUGUUUCCUAAUGGAAUUCACCUUUAGUCGUCUGGAGCUGGUCAGCUAAGUACCUGGUAAAGGAAUGAACCACAGCAAAAGGAAGCAUCAAAGAAAGAUGUGAAGAAUGGUCUACAGAGAGCUUGGUGGACCAGCAUGUGAAGGAUAAAAAGUAAUCGCCUUCAUUCCAAAACAAUGUAUUAAGUACUCAGAAUCAGGAGGGGCUAGCAGAGAUGUAAGACACGGCAUUUGUUCUUAAGAAGCUCGCAGUGGUAAAGGUGGAACACACGUGCGGGCACAUAUUUCUGCUACAAGGUGACAAAAGAACUGUGACUGAAGGGACACUGGUGGUGAGAUGUGGUCAGAGCAGUAACAGCCACCUGAAAGCUGGAUAUUUGUAACUUACAGCCUCAACAUAUGUUAACAUUCAAGAGUAAUUGUCCUACUAUAUUUAGUAUUUACUGGCCUGACCCUUAAUUAACAAUUCCAUCCAAUCUGGAGAACUACAAAAUUGUGAGGUAUAGAAAACUUGGACGGAGUUUUGACAAGAACACUGAGAAAUGUUUGAAUUCAAUAGAGAUGACCCUGGGAGCCUUUGAGAGACAAUGGCCAAGGAAACAGAGCAGCUGGAUACUGGUACUUUCAAGCACCUCAUAGGAAGGUGUCUUCCUCUGUACAGAAGGGCCACAGUCAUUCGCCCUUCCAGAGCAGCUGGAGGACAGUCUGAAUUGAACACUUGCUUCAAGAAAGGUUUUCCUGUU